RNAcentral lists this ribosomal RNA (254 nucleotides) under uncultured bacterium. RNAcentral describes it as "partial 16S ribosomal RNA". It matches the Rfam family "Bacterial small subunit ribosomal RNA", at positions 524 to 776 of the family's 1533-position model. The record is from RNAcentral.
UACGUAGGGGGCAAGCGUUAUCCAGAUUUACUGGGCGUAAAGCGCGUGUAGGCGGCUGGUUAGGCGUGAUGUGAAAUCUUCCGGCUCAACCGGAAAACUGCAUUGCGAACCGGCCUGGCUAGAGUGCAGGAGAGGGAAGCGGAAUUCCAGGUGUAGCGGUGAAAUGCGUAGAGAUCGGCAGGAACACCCAGGGGGACACCAGCCGACUGGGCAUCUGCUGACGCUGAGGUGCGAGAGCGUGGGGAGCGAACCGG